This 248-nucleotide ribosomal RNA is filed under the name uncultured bacterium. RNAcentral describes it as "partial 16S ribosomal RNA". It matches the Rfam family "Bacterial small subunit ribosomal RNA", at positions 524 to 770 of the family's 1533-position model. The record is from RNAcentral.
UACGUAGGGUGCAAGCGUUAAUCGGAAUUACUGGGCGUAAAGCGUGCGCAGGCGGUGAUGUAAGACAGAUGUGAAAUCCCCGGGCUCAACCUGGGAACUGCAUUUGUGACUGCAUGCGUGGAGUGCGGGCAGAGGGGGAUGGAAUUCCGCGUGUAGCAGUGAAAUGCGUAGAUAUGCGGAGGAACACCGAUGGCGAAGGCAAUCCCCUGGGCCUGCACUGACGCUCAUGCACGAAAGCGUGGGGAGCA